AUUGCUUUGGCAGAGUAGUGCUCUAGAUUUAGAAUCUAAUCAUGGGGGUAUCACCCCAGGCAAUA
Molecule: transfer RNA, 65 nt
Filed under: Ephemerella sp. MT-2014
Lineage: Eukaryota; Metazoa; Arthropoda; Insecta; Ephemeroptera; Ephemerellidae
Description: tRNA-Leu
Rfam family: tRNA
About the family: Transfer RNA (tRNA) molecules are approximately 80 nucleotides in length. Their secondary structure includes four short double-helical elements and three loops (D, anti-codon, and T loops). Further hydrogen bonds mediate the characteristic L-shaped molecular structure. tRNAs have two regions of fundamental functional importance: the anti-codon, which is responsible for specific mRNA codon recognition, and the 3' end, to which the tRNAs corresponding amino acid is attached (by aminoacyl-tRNA synthetases). tRNAs cope with the degeneracy of the genetic code in two manners: having more than one tRNA (with a specific anti-codon) for a particular amino acid; and 'wobble' base-pairing, i.e. permitting non-standard base-pairing at the 3rd anti-codon position.
Source: RNAcentral